Molecule: long non-coding RNA, 1772 nt
Organism: Heterocephalus glaber (naked mole-rat)
Lineage: Eukaryota; Metazoa; Chordata; Mammalia; Rodentia; Bathyergidae
Source: Ensembl
CCAGCCUUUGUCGGUUGCACCAGCACUGGUCGUCCUGGCCCCUGCUUUCUCUCCUGGUUCUGUCUCCUAGUAUAUUCUUUUUCACAGGCCUGUGUCGCACACUAGGCAGGUGGGUACUGGAGCCCGACUACAGGGGUCUCCACCAAUUGGUGCCCAUUGUGGGGGCUUGAACCAUGAGCAAUCACCUGCUCAGUGAGGCUACUCAGAAUAAAAAGGAAAAAAGAAAAAGAAAGAAAAGAAUUGACAACGCGGUGCACUUCACAUCAAGGUCAAGGACAAGCACAAAAUCCCUGGAAAAAAAGAGAACUUUAGAUAUGGAACUCGGAGCGUGUCAAAAAUAACAUCCAGACAGCUCGGCAAAGAAGAAAAGUUAUCUCCCUUGAGACUUUAACUGAGACCUUGACAGCUUGGAGCCUUGUGCACUGUUUUACGGCCCAAACAACCAAGCCUGGGAGCCGCUCAAGCUUCUGCUCCGUGGCAAUCAGCCGCUGGUGAGAACUGUUUAGUUUUGGUCUUAGGACAACUGCUCGCCAAAUCUGCCGUCUUUGACACGGCGGACUCGCCUCUCUCAGGAAAUGUGACAUCGUUACGGGCAAACACCAGCGCUUCUCCUUUGGAGGAGGUCGCGCUGCCUCCCCCUCUGCUUGAGUUGCUAAGAUCACAGGUGCGGGAGAGGUGGAGGAAAAGCAUGAGGAGAACCGGCUUGGCCUAAGUGUACCCCUCGAGGGUGCGUGUGGGUGCCGUGAUCGGACUCAGAGAGGGUCGAGCAGGGCUUGCACUCAGAUUGGAAAGAACUGAAAUGAGAAAUAAGUAAUGGAUUGAAAAUUGCUAGGAAAGCUCUGAAGAGCAUAAAGCAAAAUAGUGAGAAAAAACACUUCUGGCUUUGAUAGCCAAGGCCAGAGCUGUGUUAUCAGCCCGAUUCGGCUGCAAAGUUCUGGAAUCCAAAACAAAGCCGGAGAAACUGCAACUGUGCUCUACCAGACAUCAAGAGAUUUUACAAGAAAAACCAAGUUACAAAUUGUAGCUAACUGAUAAAUGUAUCUUUGUUGCAAUUUGAGUUGAUGUUUAAUUGGUGUGCUUGAAAGACUUCUUGUGCAUUGCAAAUUCUUGAAUUGUAAUUAUAGGGUUAACUUGAUCUUUUCUGUACUUUGUUGAUAAAGCAUUCAAGGUUACUACUGUUCUGUUGGCAGCCAGUCGAAUUUUAACAUGUAACAAUCUGAGAACAGAAAAAAAAGGGACACUUUAAAAUUUUAACAGCUGAAGACAAGUUUGUUAUAGAAGGUUUGUAGUAAGUGAGAUGGAGGAAAAGUAUUAAGAAAGCUGUAAGUAGAGGAGAUAUACUUUUGAUAUGAAAGGAUUUUGUAUUUUGUCUUGUUAGAAGGAUAAAGAGAGAUAUACAAGACUAGAAGGCUUAGGUACAUCGAGAAGGUGUGCAGAAUGAUUUAUCAAGGAAGUAUGUAUGUUUGCUUGCUGGUUUCAAGUAUGUUAUAAAAAGUUUGCAUUUACAGGCAUAAAGUGACUUACAUCAAUGAAUAUUACUUUAAAAUGUUAUUGUAAUAUGUUUACAUUGGUUGUCAUCAAAGGGUUAAAUUCUAAAUAUGUUAUUAUGAUAUGUUUACAUUGGUCAUCUUCAAAAGAUUAAAUUUUCUAUGAGAAAAACAACAAGGUUUUAUUGAAAAGAUGCUUUUGGUACCAACCUAAAUUAAAGGCCAUAAGGUUUCAUACAUAUAAUUGUGGUAAUUAUUAUUAUUGUUAAUUUUCUGAUGUACUAA